CCCCCAAAUCCUUAUCGCCGAACAUCCCUUCGGUUUUGAUCUUAACAACAAGCGUCAAUCGGUUCUGUAACGCAGCAGAUUCAUCGAUCUUAAACUUCAUCUGAUAAUUCCAUGUAGGAUUUGAAUCUCCAUCCUUAUCAACGUGGGUUUUCUGCUUCUGAUCUUGAUUCCCGGCGCCGCUGAUGUAAACAACGGCGUAAACAUCCAUUUUUCCGACGAGAUUGAUUUUAUUGAGUCCUUUUGCAGAUAUUAGUGUGAGCUCCAACGAUCUGUCCGCCAUGGGUAAUUGCUUAAUUUGAAAUCAAGUUCAGAAUUUGGGGAUGAAGGAAUAUAUAGAAAGAAAAACCGAGUA
Molecule: long non-coding RNA, 352 nt
Filed under: Lactuca sativa (garden lettuce)
Lineage: Eukaryota; Viridiplantae; Streptophyta; Magnoliopsida; Asterales; Asteraceae
Description: long non-coding RNA (LSAT_LNC005302)
Source: RNAcentral